Molecule: ribosomal RNA, 275 nt
Filed under: uncultured bacterium
Lineage: Bacteria
Description: partial 16S ribosomal RNA
Rfam family: Bacterial small subunit ribosomal RNA
Source: RNAcentral
AUACGGAGGGAGCAAGCGUUGUUCGGAAUUACUGGGCGUAAAGGGCGCGUAGGCGGCCUUGUAAGUCGAGUGUGAAAGGCCGGGGCUCAACUCCGUGCACUGCAUUCGAUACUGCUUGGCUAGAGAGAGGUAGAGGCGAGCGGAAUUCCCGGUGUAGCGGUGGAAUGCGUAGAUAUCGGGAAGAACAUCUGCGGCGAAGGCGGCUCGCUGGGCCUCAUCUGACGCUGAAGCGCGAAAGCGUGGGGAGCAAACAGGAUUAGAAACCCCAGUAGUCC